RNAcentral lists this ribosomal RNA (703 nucleotides) under uncultured bacterium. Its description in RNAcentral is "bacterial SSU rRNA". It matches the Rfam family "Bacterial small subunit ribosomal RNA", at positions 8 to 723 of the family's 1533-position model. The record is from RNAcentral.
AGAGUUUGAUCAUGGCUCAGGAUGAACGCUGGCGGCGUGCUUAACACAUGCAAGUCGAACGAUUAAGACACCUUCGGGUGUGUAUAAAGUGGCGAACGGGUGAGUAACACGUGACCAACCUACCCCGUGCACCGGGACAACCACCGGAAACAGUGGCUAAUACCGGAUAAUGCUAGAUAAGCGCAUGUUUUUCUAGCCAAAGCACAUACGGCACGGGAUGGGGUCGCGGCCCAUCAGGUUGUAGGCGGGGUAACGGCCCACCUAGCUUUCGACGGGUAGCCGAGCUGAGAGGCUGAUCGGCCACAUUGGGACUGAGAUACGGCCCAGACUCCUACGGGAGGCAGCAGUGGGGAAAUUUGCGCAAUGGGGGAAACCGUGACGCAGCAACGCCGCGCGCGGGAUGAAGGCCUUCGGGUUGUAAACCGCUUUCAGUAGGAAAGAACACAAUGACGGUACCUACAGAAGAAGCCCCGGCUAACUACGUGCCAGCAGCCGUGGUAAUACGUAGGGGGCAAGCGUUAUCCGGAUUCAUUGGGCGUAAAGCGCGCGUAGGUGGACAUCUAAGCGGGACCUCUAAUCCGCAGCUCAACCUUUACGCCGGGUUCCGAACUGGAUGUCUUCGAGUUGGGUAGGGGAGGUCGGAAUUUCCCGGUGUAGCGGGUGGAAUGCGCAGAUAUCGGGAAGAACACCGAUGGCGAAGGCA